Molecule: ribosomal RNA, 359 nt
Filed under: Verrucomicrobiota bacterium
Lineage: Bacteria; Pseudomonadati; Verrucomicrobiota
Description: bacterial SSU rRNA
Rfam family: Bacterial small subunit ribosomal RNA
Source: RNAcentral
CAAGUCAGUAUGGCCCUUACGGCCAGGGCUGCACACGUACUACAAUGCCCAGUACAGAACGAUCCAAGACCGCGAGGUGGAGGAAAUCACUAAAACUGGGCCCAGUUCAGAUUGAAGUCUGCAACUCGACUUCAUGAAGCCGGAAUCGCUAGUAAUGGCGUAUCAGCUACGACGCCGUGAAUACGUUCCCGGGCCUUGUACACACCGCCCGUCACAUCAUGGGAGUCGCUUGUAGCCGAAGCCGGCGCGCUAACCGCAAGGAGGCAGCCGCCUACGCUAUGAGCGGUAACUGGGAUGAAGUCGUAACAAGGUAGCCGUAGGGGAACCUGCGGCUGGAUCACCUCCUUUCUAAGGAGAAA